This 345-nucleotide ribosomal RNA is filed under the name uncultured bacterium. Its description in RNAcentral is "bacterial SSU rRNA". It matches the Rfam family "Bacterial small subunit ribosomal RNA", at positions 339 to 698 of the family's 1533-position model. The record is from RNAcentral.
CUACGGGAGGCAGCAGUGGGGAAUAUUGCACAAUGGGCGCAAGCCUGAUGCAGCAACGCCGCGUGAGGGACGACGGCCUUCGGUUGUAACCUCUUUAGUCAGGAAGAAGCGAAAGUAGACGGUACCUGCAGAAAAGACACCGGCUAACUACGUGCCAGCAGCCGCGGUAAUACGUAGGGUGCAAGCGUUGUCCGGAAUUAUUGGGCGUAAAGAGCUCGUAGGCGGUUUGUCGCGUCUGCUGUGAAAACGCGAGGCUCAACCUCGCGCCUGCAGUGGGUACGGGCAGACUAGAGUGCGGUAGGGGAGAUUGGAAUUCCUGGUGUAGCGGUGGAAUGCGCAGAUAUC